RNAcentral lists this long non-coding RNA (273 nucleotides) under Elaeis guineensis (African oil palm). RNAcentral describes it as "long non-coding RNA (EGUI_LNC038853)". The record is from RNAcentral. Lineage: Eukaryota; Viridiplantae; Streptophyta; Magnoliopsida; Arecales; Arecaceae.
CCUUCACGAGAAAGGAUGUGAGAACACAUCCAUUUGUGGAAAUUUUUAUCUAUUAGAUGUUCUAGAAUCAAUAUUAAAUCCUCUAUCCACAUGAAUUUUUGAGUAUUUUUUUGAUUACAUCCCUUCUCUGGUCGCGUGCACAGAGCAGGGUGCUGAUCGACGUAUCAUUGAUAAGAGUUCUUCUAUUUGAAAGAACCUUAUCUUUGAUAAUCAGAUCAGAUAGACCUCUUGGAUGAUGCGUGUCUCUAUCUUUUGGUAUCCCUCUGGUGGCUA